Molecule: long non-coding RNA, 772 nt
Filed under: Marmota monax (woodchuck)
Lineage: Eukaryota; Metazoa; Chordata; Mammalia; Rodentia; Sciuridae
Source: RNAcentral
UGAAUUUGAUGGUCAGCACCACCUAUAAAUAAAUAAAUGAAACAAAAGUCCAUCAACAACUAAAAAAAAUUAAAAACAAAAAGAAUAGAAUUGGCUUGGGUGGAGAUGAAAAAAUAAGGAUGGAAUUGCAAAUUGAGUGUGCAUGUCAGUGCUUCUGCAUGUUCACCUAGCAAAGCAGGUUAACCUCCUACUUUAUUUUUGAAUGGUUAGUAAGUUUCCAAGUCAAUUUCCAAUGAAAGUGGGAAAAAGAAGACUAUGACUCAGAUCACUAUAUUUUAAAGGACAUUCCUAGCAGGCAAGGGACCAUCUUAGGAACAUGACACAAAUUAGCUUUGUGACCCUGGGCAAGUCCCUUUGCCUUCCUGCAUGUCUCUAAGAUGGAACCAUGCAUGAUAAUGGUGUCUUUCCAGCAUUGACUGGCAGAUUUAGCUGGCUAUCCCAAGUUUCCUCUCUUUUUCCACUGCUCCCUGUAUAUCCCCUCAAGCCUGUGUAUUUAUUUCAAGAGGACAGCAAUUCCAGGUGGGGUACAUUCUUAUAACAAUGGCUUACAGAAAUGUCUCAAAUAUCACAUCUAGCUCUAACAUUUGACUCUGUAAAUCCCAAAUUAGAAUGAUUGGUGUCAUUGGAAGAAAUGAGAAAUGGCAAAAAUAGAUUGCUCUAGCGUCUAAUAAUGACCUAAACUGCAGUUCAAAAUAGACCUAAAAAACCAUCAAAAAUUUUAAGUGAGGCUUUAAGAUAGAUUUGUACUAAGAAUAUAAUGUUUACUAAAUAU